GGCGGAUGUAGCCAAGUGGUCAAGGCAGU
RNAcentral lists this transfer RNA (29 nucleotides) under Salvia tehuacana. RNAcentral describes it as "partial tRNA-His". Lineage: Eukaryota; Viridiplantae; Streptophyta; Magnoliopsida; Lamiales; Lamiaceae. The record is from RNAcentral.